Molecule: ribosomal RNA, 434 nt
Filed under: uncultured bacterium
Lineage: Bacteria
Description: partial 16S ribosomal RNA
Rfam family: Bacterial small subunit ribosomal RNA
Source: RNAcentral
AGCGAACGCUGGCGGCAGGCCUAACACAUGCAAGUCGAACGAACCUUUCGGGGUUAGUGGCGGACGGGUGAGUAACACGUGGGAACGUGCCUUUAAGUUCGGAAUAACUCAGGGAAACUUGUGCUAAUACCGAAUGUGCCCUUCGGGGGAAAGAUUUAUCGCCUUUAGAGCGGCCCGCGUCUGAUUAGCUAGUUGGUUGAGGUAAUGGUUCACCAAGGCGACGAUCAGUAGCUGGUCUGAGAGGAUGAUCAGCCACAUUGGGACUGAGACACGGCCCAAACUCCUACGGGAGGCAGCAGUGGGGAAUCUUGCGCAAUGGGCGAAAGCCUGACGCAGCCAUGCCGCGUGAAUGAUGAAGGUCUUAGGAUUGUAAAAUUCUUUCACCGGGGACGAUAAUGACGGUACCCGGAGAAGAAGCCCCGGCUAACUUCGUG